UCAUAGUUCUUUGAGUGACCUACUGCUUAGUUGAAGACAUUGUAGUGCUUUGGAUUUUGGUCACUGCAUAAUUAUUAUCAGAAGGCUCGUUAUAAUUAUCAUUGUCGUUGUUCUGUUGUCACAAAGUAUGAGGUUAACUCGUUUAAUAUACAAGAUCAGGUAAAGAAAGAUAAGAUAAUCAUCACUAAUUAAAUUUGUAAAAAGAAAUUAAUUUUGGCAAUUAAUUCAGCAUACAACAAAAAAAAAAGUUUUCAGUGUAUCUGACUAGUCUCUAGACAUUUGUUUUACUUUCAUUACUCUUAUCAAGUCCUGCUUCUUCUCUCUUUCAUUACUUUGAGUAAGUUUCUUCUUAUUGUAUUCAUUUAUUAAACAAAUGAUAGUGAUUUGGCAUCCAUGUUUCUUAAUUUUUUGGGUAAAAAAUUAAGUGCUUUUGUACUAAAAAACAAAUUAAAUAUGAUAUUCAUGCUAUUUAAAACUAUGUUCGUAGCAAACUUGGUAUAGUUCAAUAGAAAAUUAAAAUUCCAUCACCCUAUUUAUGAACAUGUCUAUCCCUAGAUAUAGAAGUUAAAUUGGUGGUAUUACAGUCAAUACGAUUACGCCUAGAAAGAAAAUUAUAGCAUAAAGCAUCAAAGGGCAAAACUGGCAUGAUAUAUGAUAUUGCUAAUUUCUAAGUGCUCUUUAAACUAAUUUUCUAAGGAGAGAAAAGUGAACAAAAAAUAAUUAACAAUUUUGAGAAUACAUAAAAACAUUGAAUUUCUACAUUUUCAUCUCUGCUAACGUAAUGUUGCCAUCAGCAAUUGGAUUUAGUAUUCUUAGAUACUCGGCCGAAAAAUUAAACUUUCUACCAUUCAAUCUCCACCUGAAACAAAAGAUCAAGUAAAAGAUAGAUAGUUAGAAUUGCAUUAUGCAAGCAAUCAAGUUUUACACAACAAUUACAAGAACAAUACAACCUCCUAAUAAUUGAUGAAAAUAGAUUAAAAACUUCCCAAUCAAAUCAAGUCCUUUCCAAAAUGGGCUUCUCUCUUUUUAUUUAAAAAAUGGUUCCUACCAUGAAAAUUGAGGCUUCAUGAAGAACAAGAACAGAAAAAGAGAUUUUAAGAGAUGGGUUUUGGGUUUAAGAGGAAAUUUUGAAAUGGGUCAAUUUGAAUUUGAUAAUUUGAUAAGGAAAUAAGAAGAGGAUGGAACUGUUAUUGGGAGAGCAAAAUAUUUGAAAUAAGGAAAAGUGUAGAUAAGGCAAGU
RNAcentral lists this long non-coding RNA (1239 nucleotides) under Citrus x clementina. RNAcentral describes it as "Citrus clementina (C. clementina) long non-coding RNA (CCLE_LNC002532)". The record is from RNAcentral. Lineage: Eukaryota; Viridiplantae; Streptophyta; Magnoliopsida; Sapindales; Rutaceae.